GCUCUGCUGGUCUAGUGGUAUGAUACCUGCUUCGGGAUUCUUCAAUUCCAGUCGUCACCAGACGAGUAUGCAGGUGGUCCCCGGUUCGAAUCCGGGGUAGAGCC
Neopestalotiopsis sp. 37M is the source of this 104-nucleotide non-coding RNA. The record is from the annotation of a GenBank genome assembly. NCBI's taxonomy places the organism in Eukaryota, Fungi, Ascomycota, Sordariomycetes, Amphisphaeriales, Sporocadaceae.